GGUUGUGGGGCCUGACUGGAAGCACCCGGCUCAGGCCUUGGGGUGCGGCUGAGCAGGGAGAGAGCUGGUCACCUUGCUUGACUGCAGGAGCACCUGGGCCCGUGCAGGGCAGGACAGUGGCCUGGCCACUCUGCAAGCUGACUAAUAAUUCACUGCAACUAAUAACUUCAACUUCAAGCUUUUUGACUUUCUUAGAGGGCACUUUGUUCAACAGCACAGGGAAGAUGACAGCAAGAACACAUGCAUUUAAACUAACAACACAAGCGAGAGAGAAGCCGUCUUCCAGGGGAGACAGAGAGAGGCUUCAGAGCACCCCGUGCCUCCUGCCCGGACUUGUACUCCAAUUAUGCCCCCGCUCUCUGGGCAGGAAGAUUGUUUACAGCAGGUUCUCAAUCAGGGAGAUGGGGGAUUGAGCCAGGACGGAGGAUGUGGUGGGCGAGAACUCAGGUAUGAGGGGUAUCGGUCUUGGAUCCUGUAC
Fukomys damarensis (Damara mole-rat) is the source of this 478-nucleotide long non-coding RNA. RefSeq lists it as uncharacterized. NCBI's taxonomy places the organism in Eukaryota, Metazoa, Chordata, Mammalia, Rodentia, Bathyergidae. The transcript has 3 exons. The record is from RefSeq and is a predicted model, not a curated record.